AUCGGCGAUGUAGCGCACCACCGACAGAUCGUGACUGAUGAAGACAUAGGUGAGCUUGAAUUCGUCCUGCAGAUCGGCGAGCAGGUUCAGAACCUGCGCCUG
RNAcentral lists this small RNA (102 nucleotides) under Sinorhizobium meliloti 2011. RNAcentral describes it as "putative ncRNA". The record is from RNAcentral. Lineage: Bacteria; Pseudomonadati; Pseudomonadota; Alphaproteobacteria; Hyphomicrobiales; Rhizobiaceae.